Molecule: transfer RNA, 67 nt
Filed under: Atkinsoniella yunnanana
Lineage: Eukaryota; Metazoa; Arthropoda; Insecta; Hemiptera; Cicadellidae
Description: tRNA-Arg
Source: RNAcentral
UAGUAAGAAGUAAAUAAUACAUUUAGUUUCGACCUAAAAUAUAGAGAAUAAUUAUUCUCCUUACUUU